ACUCCAAAGAAAAAUAAAGUUUGGAUAUUGAUUGCAAACCAUUCUCGUAUUUCAUUCUUUCACUUCACCCUUUUAGAUUUAGAUUUUCUGAAAUUAUAAAAAGUAGGGGGAGACGUGAAUUUCACACAAUAAACAAAUAUGCCAUCAUUUUGGAUCAAAUAAAUGCACCGUUUUUAUUAAGAUUGCAUUGAACCUGUGAACAAAUAUACAACUUCAGGAGGAGCCUAAAACUGAAUCGUUCAAGAAGAGUUUGUUAACCUUAGGGGAAUCCUAAGCAUUCUUACAAGAAGGGAGUUAUCAUACACUUGGAGGAACAUAAAUUUCUCAAGUGAAGGGAGUUCACAAGAAAAAGAAGAAAAAAUAACUUCAAGCAAGAGGGAGUUCUCAUACUUUAGGGGGAGUCUAAGUCUACUUUACUAAUAUACACAUACUUAGGAGGAACCUAAGUACACAAGAGAGGGAGUCUCACAUCUUGGGGGACUCUUAGUGAUCUCUAGAUGAAUUAGGCUCUACGGUUAUCACUGUAAUAGUCAUUAACAACAUAUUAAUUACAAGGUCGUUGUAAUUGCUUAACUUGAAUAUAUUAGUGAAUUGUUUUUCCUAGGUACAUUGUCCUCCGAUCAUAGGUGCAUGUUGUAUCACCAAAUUGGGUUACUAGCUCCUGUGUGAUUUGUAUUCCUCGAACUCUAAAUUUAUUCUUGUUUCUGUGAU
Molecule: long non-coding RNA, 711 nt
Organism: Cucumis melo (muskmelon)
Lineage: Eukaryota; Viridiplantae; Streptophyta; Magnoliopsida; Cucurbitales; Cucurbitaceae
Exons: 2
Source: RefSeq, a predicted model, not a curated record